GAUGAACGCUGGCGGCGUGCCUAAUACAUGCAAGUCGAGCGAACAGAUGAGGAGCUUGCUCCUCUGACGUUAGCGGCGGACGGGUGAGUAACACGUGGAUAACCUACCUAUAAGACUGGGAUAACUUCGGGAAACCGGAGCUAAUACCGGAUAAUAUAUUGAACCGCAUGGUGCAAUAGUGAAAGACGGUUUUGCUGUCACUUAUAGAUGGAUCCGCGCCGCAUUAGCUAGUUGGUAAGGUAACGGCUUACCAAGGCAACGAUGCGUAGCCGACCGGAGAGGGUGGUCGGCCACACUGGAACGGAGACACGGACCAGACUCCUACGAGAGGCAGCAGUAGGGAAUCGGCCGCAAAGGGCGAGAGCCUGACGGAACGACGCCGCGUGAGUGAUGAAGGUCUUCGGAGCGUAAAACUCUGUUAUUAGUGAAGAACAAAUGUGUAAGUAACUAUGCACGUCUUGACGGUACCUAAUCAGAAAGCCACGGCUAACUACGUG
Molecule: ribosomal RNA, 497 nt
Filed under: uncultured bacterium
Lineage: Bacteria
Description: partial 16S ribosomal RNA
Rfam family: Bacterial small subunit ribosomal RNA
Source: RNAcentral